UCCGCAGUAGCACAUUGGUAAAUUUCUAAGUUGAAAUUCCGGGUUCGAACCCCGGCUGCGGAA
RNAcentral lists this transfer RNA (63 nucleotides) under Cephalotus follicularis. It matches the Rfam family "tRNA". Rfam says of the family: Transfer RNA (tRNA) molecules are approximately 80 nucleotides in length. Their secondary structure includes four short double-helical elements and three loops (D, anti-codon, and T loops). The record is from Rfam by way of RNAcentral. Lineage: Eukaryota; Viridiplantae; Streptophyta; Magnoliopsida; Oxalidales; Cephalotaceae.